This 260-nucleotide ribosomal RNA is filed under the name uncultured Peptoniphilus sp. RNAcentral describes it as "partial 16S ribosomal RNA". It matches the Rfam family "Bacterial small subunit ribosomal RNA", at positions 96 to 355 of the family's 1533-position model. Lineage: Bacteria; Bacillati; Bacillota; Tissierellia; Tissierellales; Peptoniphilaceae. The record is from RNAcentral.
CGGCGGACGGGUGAGUAACACGUGAGUAACCUGCCUUAGACAUAGGGAUAGCCUCGGGAAACCGGGAUUAAUACCAAAUGAAAUCACAUAUGCACAUGCAUAAAUGAUCAAAGCUCCGGCGGUCUAAGAUGGACUCGCGUCCCAUUAGCUAGUUGGUGAGGUAACGGCCCACCAAGGCGACGAUGGGUAGCCGGCCUGAGAGGGUGAACGGCCACAUUGGAACUGAGAAACGGUCCAAACUCCUACGGGAGGCAGCAGCC